GACGAACGCUGGCGGCGUGCUUAACACAUGCAAGUCGAACGGAAAGGCCCUGCUUUUGUGGGGUGCUCGAGUGGCGAACGGGUGAGUAACACGUGAGUAACCUGCCCUUGACUUUGGGAUAACUUCAGGAAACUGGGGCUAAUACCGGAUAGGAGCUCCUGCUGCAUGGUGGGGGUUGGAAAGUUUCGGCGGUUGGGGAUGGACUCGCGGCUUAUCAGCUUGUUGGUGGGGUAGUGGCUUACCAAGGCUUUGACGGAUAGCCGGCCUGAGAGGGUGACCGGCCACAUUGGGACUGAGAUACGGCCCAGACUCCUACGGGAGGCAGCAGUGGGGAAUAUUGCACAGUGGGCGGAAGCCUGAUGCAGCAACGCCGCGUGCGGGAUGACGGCCUGCGGGUUGUGAACCGCUUUCGCCUGUGACGAAGCGUGAGUGACGGUAAUGGGUAAAGAAGCACCGGCUAACUACGUG
This 468-nucleotide ribosomal RNA is filed under the name uncultured bacterium. RNAcentral's name for it is "partial 16S ribosomal RNA". It matches the Rfam family "Bacterial small subunit ribosomal RNA", at positions 28 to 507 of the family's 1533-position model. The record is from RNAcentral.